RNAcentral lists this transfer RNA (83 nucleotides) under Candidatus Pacebacteria bacterium CG10_big_fil_rev_8_21_14_0_10_56_10. RNAcentral describes it as "tRNA-Ser". It matches the Rfam family "tRNA". Rfam says of the family: Transfer RNA (tRNA) molecules are approximately 80 nucleotides in length. Their secondary structure includes four short double-helical elements and three loops (D, anti-codon, and T loops). Lineage: Bacteria; Bacillati; Minisyncoccota. The record is from RNAcentral.
GGAGGGUUGGCAGAGCGGACAAAUGCGCUGGUCUUGAAAACCAGAGCCUCACGGCUUCGUGGGUUCGAAUCCCACACCCUCCG